Molecule: small RNA, 498 nt
Filed under: Histoplasma capsulatum var. duboisii H88
Lineage: Eukaryota; Fungi; Ascomycota; Eurotiomycetes; Onygenales; Ajellomycetaceae
Description: Histoplasma capsulatum H88 hypothetical RNA
Source: RNAcentral
CAACUGGCAGUAAUUAUCUCAAAGAAUGAUCGACCUUAGUUUUUGUUGUUUCUCUUUUCCUCUCUCUGAUAGGACAUGAAUUUUAUGAAAUUCCUCAUUGCCUUUUCUCUGCGCUUUCAACAUCAAACAGAUGGAGGCAAAAAGUGCAGUUGUAGCCAAUAAUACUGCGCAUAAAAUUUAUCUUUAUCUUUCAUGUCUGUUUAUUCUUUGAAACCGAGACAAAUCCCCACCAUACAAUUUUGUCAUUCUAGUAUGAAAUAAAUUAUAUUAUUUCCUCCUCAAAUCUACACAAGAACGUAUGUGAAUUUUAGCUCUCGUAUGAUGGUUUUUUGUUCCAGAAUCGAAUGGCAGUAAGUUGAGCCAUAUGUAUCAACAAUCACAGAUAUCAUUUGCAGAUAAGUUUUUGAUCUGCAAUCAAGCUGAAGGUAUUGAGCAGUAGUGCUUGUACUAGCCAGUUAUUUGAGAACAGAAAUAUCAAGAAGCGUCCUUUAACCUGAG